AUCCAGCUGACGAGUCUCAAAUGGGACGACACGCGCGUCCUGGAU
Schistosoma rodhaini is the source of this 45-nucleotide non-coding RNA. NCBI's taxonomy places the organism in Eukaryota, Metazoa, Platyhelminthes, Trematoda, Strigeidida, Schistosomatidae. The record is from Rfam.